RNAcentral lists this ribosomal RNA (481 nucleotides) under uncultured bacterium. RNAcentral's name for it is "partial 16S ribosomal RNA". It matches the Rfam family "Bacterial small subunit ribosomal RNA", at positions 28 to 507 of the family's 1533-position model. The record is from RNAcentral.
GAUGAACGCUGGCGGCGUGCUUAACACAUGCAAGUCGAACGAAGCACUUUAUUUGAUUUCCUUCGGGACUGAUUAUUUUGUGACUGAGUGGCGGACGGGUGAGUAACGCGUGGGUAACCUGCCUUGUACAGGGGGAUAACAGUUGGAAACGGCUGCUAAUACCGCAUAAGCGCACGGCAUCGCAUGAUGCAGUGUGAAAAACUCCGGUGGUAUAAGAUGGACCCGCGUUGGAUUAGCUAGUUGGUGAGGUAACGGCCCACCAAGGCGACGAUCCAUAGCCGACCUGAGAGAGUGACCGGCCACAUUGGGACUAAGACACGGCCCAAUCUCCUACGGGAGGCAGCAGUGGGGAAUAUUGCACAAUGGGCGAAAGCCUGAUGCAGCGACGCCGCGUGAGCGAAGAAGUAUUUCGGUAUGUAAAGCUCUAUCAGCAGGGAAGAUAAUGACGGUACCUGACUAAGAAGCACCGGCUAAAUACGUG